GAAACGACUGCUAAGACUGGAUAGGAGACAAGAAGGCAUCUUUUUGUUUUUAAAAGACCUAGCAAUAGGUAUGCUUAGGGAGGAGCUUGCGUCACAUUAGUUAGUUGGUGGGGUAAAGGCUUACCAAGACUAUGAUGUGUAGCCGGGCUGAGAGGUUGAACGGCCACAUUGGGACUGAGACACGGCCCAAACUCCUACGGGAGGCAGCAGUAGGGAAUUUUCGGCAAUGGAGGAAACUCUGACCGAGCAACGCCGCGUGAACGAUGAAGUAUUUCGGUACGUAAAGUUCUUUUAUUAGGGAAGAAUAAAUGAUGGAAAAAUCAUUCUGACGGUACCUAAUGAAUAAGCCCCGGCUAACUAUGUGCCAGCAGCCGCGGUAAUACAUAGGGGGCAAGCGUUAUCCGGAAUUAUUGGGCGUAAAGGGUGCGUAGGCGGUUAAAUAAGUUUAUGGUCUAAGUGCAAUGCUUAACAUUGUGAUGCUAUAAAAACUGUUUAACUAGAGUAAGAUAGAGGCAAGUGGAAUUCCAUGUGUAGUGGUAAAAUGCGUAAAUAUAUGGAGGAACACCAGUAGCGAAGGCGGCUUGCUGGGUCUUUACUGACGCUGAGGCACGAAAGCGUGGGGAGCAAACAGGAUUAGAUACCCUGGUAGUCCACGCCGUAAACGAUGAGUACUAAAUGUUGGGUAAAACCAGUGUUGAAGUUAACACAUUAAGUACUCCGCCUGAGUAGUACGUACGCAAGUAUGAAACUUAAAGGAAUUGACGGGACUCCGCACAAGCGGUGGAUCAUGUUGUUUAAUUCGAAGGUACCCGAAAAACCUCACCAGGUCUUGACAUGCUUCUGCAAAGCUGUAGAAACACAGUGGAGGUUACCAGUUGCACAGGUGGUGCAUGGUUGUCGUCAGCUCGUGUCGUGAGAUGUUGGGUUAAGUCCCGCAACGAGCGCAACCCUUAUUGUUAGUUGCCAGCACGUAAUGGUGGGGACUUUAGCAAGACUGCCAGUGAUAAAUUGGAGGAAGGUGGGGACGACGUCAAAUCAUCAUGCCCCUUAUGACCUGGGCCACAAACGUGAUACAAUGGCUGUUACAAAGGGUAGCUGAAACGCAAGUUUUUGGCGAAUCUCAAAAAAACAGUCUCAGUUCGGAUUGAAGUCUGCAACUCGACUUCAUGAAGUUGGAAUCGCUAGUAAUCGCGAAUCAGCAUGUCGCGGUGAAUACGUUCUCGGGGUUUGUACACACCGCCCGUCA
This 1246-nucleotide ribosomal RNA is filed under the name 'Campsis grandiflora' witches'-broom phytoplasma. Its description in RNAcentral is "bacterial SSU rRNA". It matches the Rfam family "Bacterial small subunit ribosomal RNA", at positions 153 to 1399 of the family's 1533-position model. Lineage: Bacteria; Bacillati; Mycoplasmatota; Mollicutes; Acholeplasmatales; Acholeplasmataceae. The record is from RNAcentral.